This 9719-nucleotide long non-coding RNA is filed under the name Solanum tuberosum (potato). RNAcentral's name for it is "long non-coding RNA (STUB_LNC009483)". The record is from RNAcentral. Lineage: Eukaryota; Viridiplantae; Streptophyta; Magnoliopsida; Solanales; Solanaceae.
UGCAAUCCGUACGUGUCCCCUCACACCUUCAAUUUAUGCAUUCAAAAUCUUAUUAUAAAUACAGCCCAAAAAUGCAUUAGUUUCUUCAUCCCUCAAUUUUCAUAUUUCAUAAGUACUAAGCUUUGAAACAAAAAUAAAAGAAUUAAGAAGAAUGGGUUCCAAGGCAAUUAUGUUUCUUGGUCUUUUUUUGGCUAUUUUCUUAAUGAUAAGCUCUGAGGUUGCAGCUAGGGAGUUGGCAGCUGAGACUUCCAAUGGUAAGCAUUUCUUUUCAUUUGUUCCCUCUCUUAGGGUAUGUUCGAUAAAAAAAAAUAUUUUUCAUGAAAAAUAUUUUGUAAGAAAAUAUAAGUGACUUCUUUAUUUACUUUUUUGUGUUCAAUAUCGUGAUAUAAUCUAGACAGAUAUAUAAUUGGUGGGGUUGGAUGGUGACGGUGGGAUGAAGAUGGGGCGAAGAUAAAUAUGUUUGAUCAUAAAAUUUGUCUACUUUUUGAAAAUUAUUUGAAACAAAAUCCCAAAAUUUCAAUCACUAAUGCUGUAGUUUGAUCAUGACACUUAAUAUAUAUUCUUUUUGUUUCAUGUUAUACGUCUCAAUUACUAUGCAUAAAGUAUAAGAAUAUACCAUAAACUUCCCAAACUUUGCUAAACUAAACUAAAGGUAUGUAAAUUAUAUUAUAAAUGCCCUAUGAGUUUUGUGAUCUUAUGUUACAUUGAAAUUAAAAAAAUUACAAUUAAAUAUAUAUAGGAAGAGGAGUACUCAUUUUGAAAUAUAAUAAAAAGGAAAGUACGACAUAUAAAUUGAAGUGCAAUUCAAAGACUAGUAAUGACUCAUCGUACGUGUUAGCUAGUUUAAUUAAUCUUCACAAUUCAUCGAUGCAGCGGUAAACGUUGAUGGACAUUAUUAUGGAGGCGGCUAUGGUAAGGGCCAUGGAAAACCUAAGAAAUGUUAUAGUUGCUGCAAGAAAUACAAAUAUGGAUGCAAAAAAUACUGCUGCUCUUAUGAAGAAUAUGUGGCUGCCCAGACUCACAACUAAAUAAUUAAUUAUUAUUGUAAACUUUUGAAAUUAAGUGACAAGAUACUAAUAAUCUUGCUACUUAAGACCCUUUGCUUGUAACAAGUAUGAAUAAAGCCAUUCAUUUACAAUGAAUGGUUGGUCAUGAUGUAAUGUUUUGUUGUACAAUAUAUCAUAUUGUGUUAAAAAUGUUUCCCUAAUGUUAAGAUUUUCUUCUUAUUUUUACUUAAGUAUUCUAUCAUCCCUUAAUCAUAUGUUUCAAGAUUGAAUCCUGGUCCGAAUAUAGAAUUGUCUUUGUUACAUAGUAUUUUACUCUAUUUGAAUUUUUUACCGUGAAUCCAAUUUAUUUAAGGCAUCUCUAAUUAAGGAUAUUGAACAUUGAGGGGAAAUUUUAAAAUAUUUAAUUUUCUUGUUAUUUAAUAAAGUAAGGAAAACAAUGCAGAAAAAAAGAAACAAUUUGUUCUUUUCUUUGUAUAAUAUUUAAAAAAAUAUAAUCACAGAAGAAAUAAAAUUAAAGCAUGGGGGACAAACGACUAAUAAUGUCAAAUCAUCACUUAUUUUUUUAUUUCUAAUGAACACUUUAGUCAGGGCUGAAAUCGAAAUUUUAUGAAAACAUCACAACAUAUAAACAAAAAUGAACACAUGAGUAAAUUUUAAUGAUUCAAUAUAUGAUACAAUGUAGUAGCUUUUUUCGACGAAGGAGAGUCAAUUAACAAUAUUAGAUAAGGAUGGUUACAUCAUUAAUAUUCACGAUCACCAUUAAGGGCGUAUUUACCUUAAGCUCGCAAUAUAUAUAUGCAACGUCAACCAAAUAACUCACAUUAGGGGUGUACAAAAAUGAACCGAAAACCGAAUUAAACCGCAAAUCGAGAAAAAAAAAUCCGACUAGUGGUUGGUUUGACUUGGUUUGGUAUUGAAAAAAAAACCCAACUAUAUUUGGGUUGGUUUGGUUUUAACUAAAAAAAACCAACCCGAGACCAAACCAACACGUCAUUAUAUAUAUAAUUUUAAAAUUUAUUUUAUAUUUUAUACAUAAAAAUAUUUACUUUGAAAUAAUUUUUAAAUCUUUCUUAUACUUUUUCAUAGUUUUUAUCUUUUAAUAUAUUAUUNNNNNNNNNNNNNNNNNNNNNNNNNNNNNNNNNNNNNNNNNNNNNNNNNNNNNNNNNNNNNNNNNNNNNNNNNNNNNNNNNNNNNNNNNNNNNNNNNNNNNNNNNNNNNNNNNNNNNNNNNNNNNNNNNNNNNNNNNNNNNNNNNNNNNNNNNNNNNNNNNNNNNNNNNNNNNNNNNNNNNNNNNNNNNNNNNNNNNNNNNNNNNNNNNNNNNNNNNNNNNNNNNNNNNNNNNNNNNNNNNNNNNNNNNNNNNNNNNNNNNNNNNNNNNNNNNNNNNNNNNNNNNNNNNNGAAAACAAAAAUACAGAAUGAUUAUUAUGAAAAAAAUAAGUGAACAAAUGGGGUUCUUUUGUAUAUUUUAUUUUUUGUUAUUGCUGAAUUUGCCGAACUUUUACAGCUUGUUUGAGUACUUGUUACCUAUAUAGUUGUAUUUUGGUGGCGAAAUGGUCUAAUAGACCCCUGUACUUGUAUGAGUUUGUAUUGUGAACCCUUCUACUUAACUCUUUAUCAAUUGAACCCUUAAACUUAUAAAACACAAUUUAUCAAACCCCUCUGACCAUUGACUAGGCUUAUGUGGCAUCAAUAUGGUUGAGUUGGCAAGAGUGUGUGAAUUCACUCUCGUUAAGGCGAGUGAUAUCCUAUUUAAGUUUUAAAAAAUAUUAAAAAAUUAAAAAAAAAUAAAACAAUAAAACAAAAAAACUUUAAAAAAAAUAACUAAAAAAGGCUUUCUUCUUCCGCCAACAGGUUCACAUCCAUUUUUGGCCAUCUCCAUCCCUGUCCAAUCCAUUUUUCUUUCUUCUUCACACUCUUGUCAUCUUCUUUAGCAGAUCUUCGCAUUGGCACCUAGAGAGAGACGACGCAGGUCAGUGGAAGAAGAACGAGGCGGUUGAGGGUAGGAUCUGGUCACGACAGCGAAGAGGUUUUUCGGUCAGAUCUGGUGGCCAUGGUGCGACGGAGAUGAAGACGGGUGAGGAAGAGGGCACGUAUGGUCGCCGGCAAGAGUUGCGACGACGACUGAGACGGCGGCGAGGAGCCUCCUAGAAUAUUUGUAUGCCGGAGACAGUAAGGGGUUUCUUGGCCUUCUGAUACUCCGGAGAGGAUGAAGAGCAUAUCGGUCGGUGAUGGUGAGGGGAGAGAAGCUAGUGCGGUGGCUUAGGGUUUCUAGAUUUGUGGAGGUUAGAGAAGGAGAAAAGAAAAUGGUAAGGGUGUGCGAUGAAGAUGGAGGUUGGUGGGGAGAUCGUAUUUGUGGUCUCGCCGGCAAGAGGAGCGGCAACAGCAGCGACUUUUUCCGACAGUUGGGCCAUUUCACGGUGAAAAUGGAAGAUGAUGUGAGGAGACCCAAACUUUUAAUUUAAAAUAAUAAAUUAAAAUUUAAUUUGUCAAAAUUACAUCAAAACUUUAUGAUUUUUCUUUUGUUAAAAAAGAAAUUAUUAUAUAAAAAAAAAAUGAUGUGGCAAAUUUUAUCUGACAUAGCGUAUGACAUUAGCGUGAUUGAGAAUCACGAUGAGUUGAAAGGGUUCAAUAGGUUGAGUUUAGAUGGGUUCAGGGGUCCAUAUGACAAAGAGGUAAGUAGAAGAAUUCACAAUACAAACGCAUACAAGUACAAGGGUCCACCAGAUCAUUUUGCCUAUUUUGGUAGGACUAAAGAAAUAUUUGAAGUACAAGUAAAUUAUAUGUUCGUAUGAAUACUUUACCGGAAAAACCCGAAAAAUCCGAGGUUGAAAAACCCGAGUUUUAUUGAUUUGGUUUGGUUUAUAGAUUUAAAAAUUCAACACAAAUGGUUGGAUUUGAUAAUUGAAAAAUCCGAACCAACCCGGUCAUGUACACCCCUAACUCACAUGAUUAUGAAUCAAGGAAAAGAAUAAAUAAUUUUCGUCAUGUUGUGCAAAAAUAUAUAUUUCUAAUCUUAUUAAUAUUAGGUUAGGGGGAAACCUUUUUUGGGUUAUUUAUUAUUUCUAUCUAUAUUUUGUGUAUAUAUAUAAAAAAAAAAUUGCAUAAUAUAUAAACGUAUCCUUUAAUUUGGUCUCAACUGACAUCUAGCCCUCCAACUUUGGAUGUGCACAAGUAGGGACUUAAACUUGUAUAGAGUUGAACAAGUAGACACACUAGUCCUACGUGACAUAAUACGCAUAGGACACCAUGUACGACACAAAUUAUCAUGUAGGACAUGUAUAUCUACUUGUUCUAUUAUAUAUAAACUUAAGUGUUUACCAUUAGUACACAUCCAAAAUUAAAGGUUAUAAAUAUCGAUUAAGGUCAAAAUAAAAUAAUAUUUUCAUGUAUUAUACUUGUUUUUUUAGAAGACUUUUCUUGAGUUAUAAAGCAAUAAAGAGAGUUGGCCCCUCUUAUUUAACUUGAUACGUUGUACAUUAAAAGAGUCAUUAAAUACGUCAUUUAAAGUCUUUGAGUAUUGACCAAAUCCAAGAGUAUAUAUACACCACUAUUUCUAGAUAUUUUAGGAUAAGGUAGUCCUACAAGUUAGCAUAUUUUAAAUUACUUUUUUGCAUAACUAUCCAAAAAUAUACUAUUAACACGACGAUUUAUUAUCGAAAUAUAUAAUACCCAUCACAUGCAUAUUAUUUUUUAAAGUUAUUUUAAUGUUUGAUUUUCUACUAAGUAUUAAUCUUUGUUUUUAGUUUGUUUUGUCGGAUGGUGUACGUAAGCCACUUGGUCAUAUUGAUGUGAUAUAUUUACAAAUAUUUUUUCGAAAAAAUAAGUAAAUUUUUAUCUAUUCUUAUGUUUUUUUAUAGGGAAAAAGUCUGAAAUAUAUUCGAACUUUAGCCAUUCUACUUAAUUUUACUAAUGGUGUUAUAGUAUUAACGUAUGUACUUGUGCCUUUCUACUUUUACUAAUGGUGUUUUGAUUAUUUUUAACUUUUAAUUUGAUUAUUUUGAAUAUUUAAGAUUUGUAAAAUACAAACAGAUACAAUUUAUAAAUAUUAUGUUUUUUUCAUCUUAACAAAAUAUUACUUACGACUCCACCAUAAAAUCAACACUCUAUUUAUCUACCACUUGUAGAGCAAGUUGUUCAUUUCUUUGGUCCAUACAUAAUUGCAAUCCGUAUAUGUAUCCCCUCACACCUCUAAUUAUUUAUGCAUUCAAAUCUUAUUAUAAAUAGAGCCCAAAAAUGCAUUAGUUUCUUCAUCCCUCAAUUUUCAUAUUUCAUAAGUACUAAGUUUUGAACAAAAGAAAAAUUAAAAAGAAUGGGUUCCAAGGCAAUUAUGUUUCUUGGUCUUUUUUUGGCUAUUUUCUUAAUGAUAAGCUCUGAGGUUGCAGCUAGGGAGUUGGCAGCUGAGACUUCCAAUGGUAAGCAUUUCUUUUCAUUUGUUCCCUCUCUUAGGGUGUGUUCGAUAAAAAAAAAAUGUUUUCAUGAAAAAUAUUUUGUAAGAAAAUAUAAGUGACUUCUUUAUUUACUUUGUUGUGUUUAAUAUUGUGAUAUAAUCUAGAUAAAUAUAUAAUUGGUGGGGUUGGAUGAUGACGGUGGGAUGAGGAUGGGGGAAGAUAAAUAUGUUUGAUCAUAAAAUUUGUCUACUUUUUGAAAAUUAUUGGAAACGAAAUCCCAAAAUUUCAAUUAAUAAUGCUAUAGUUUGAUCAUGACACUAAAUAUACAUUCCUUUUGUUUCAUUUUAUAUGUCUCAAUUACUAUGCAUAAAGUUUAAGAAUAUACCAUAAACUUUCCAAUCUUUGCUAAACUAAACUAAAGGCGUGUAAAUUAUAUUAUAAAUGUCCUAUGAAUUUUGUGAUCUUAUGUUACAUUGGAAUUAAAAAAAUUAAUUACAAUUAAAUAUAUAUAGUUAAUGGAGUACUCAUUUUGAAAUAUAAUAAAAAGGAAAGUACGACAUAUAAAUUGAAGCUCAAUUCAGAGACUAGUCAUAACUCAUCGUACGUGUUAGCUAGUUUAAUUAAUCUUCACAAUUCAUCGAUGCAGCGGUAAACGUUGAUGGACAUUAUUAUGGCGGUGGCUAUCACGAGGGCUAUGGAAAACCUAAGAAAUGUCAUAGUUGCUGCAAAAAAUACAAUAUGGAUGCAUAAAAUACUGCUGCUCUUAUGAAGAAUAUGUGGCUGCCCAGACUCACAACUAAAUAAUUAAUUGUGUGUAUUAUUAUUGUAAACUUUUGAAAUUAAGUGACAAGAUAAUAAUAAUCUUGUUACUUAAGACCCUUUGCUUGUAACAAGUAUGAAUAAAGCCAUUCAUUUACUAUGAAUGGUUGGUCAUGAUGUAAUGUUUUGUUGUACAAUAUAUCAUAUUGUGUUAAAAAAUGUUUCCCUAAUGUUAAGAUUUUCUUCUUAUUUUUACUUUAAGUAUUAUAUUCUAUCAUCCUUUAAUCAUAUAUUUCAGGAUUGAAUCCUGAUCCGAAUAUAGAAUUGUCUUUGUUACAUAGUGUUUUACUUGAUCUGAAUUUUUUAACGUGAAUCCAAUUUAUUUAAGGCAUCUCUAAGGAUAUUGAACAUCGAGGGGAAAAUUUAAAAUAUUUAAUUUUCUUGUUAUUUAAUAAAGUAAGGAAAACAAUGCAGAAAAAAGAAACAAUUUGUUCUUUUCUUUGUCUAAUAUUUUUUAAAAGUAUAAUCACAGAAGAAAUAAAAUUAAAGCAUGGGGGACAAAAGACUAAUAAUGUCAAAUCAUCACUUAUUUUUUGAUUUCUAAUGAACACUCUAGUCAGGGCUGAAAUCGAAAUUUUAUGAAAACAUCACAAUAUAAACAAAAAUAAACACAUGAGUAAAUUUUAAUGAUUCAAUAUAUGAUACAAUGUAGUAACUUUUUUCGACGAAGGAGAGUCAAUUAACACUCUUAGAUAAGGAUGGUUACAUCAUUAAUAUUCACGAUCACCAUUAGGGGCGGAUUUACCUUAAGCUCGCAAUGCCAUCUAGCUAUUAGUCAUGCAUGGAAAAUAAAUUUUCUUAUGCACAUGAUCAACUAAAUAAAUAUCGUAUUAUUUAGAAAAGAUUUAUAUAUAUAUAUGCAACAUCAACCAAAUAACUCACAAUCUCACAUGAUUAUUAAUCAGGGAAAAGAUUAAAUAAUUUUCGUCAUGUUGUGCAAAAAUAUAUAUUUCUAAUCUUAUUAAUAUUAGGUUAGGGGGGGAAACCGUUUUUUUGGGUUAUUUAUUAUUUCUAUCUAUAUUUUGUGUAUAUAUAUAAAAAAAAAUUAGCAUAAAAUAUAAACGUAUCCUUUAAUUUGGUCUCAACUGACAUCUAGCCCUCCAACUUUGGAUGUGCACAAGUAGAGACUUAAACUUGUAUAGAGUUGAACAAGUAGACACACUAAUCCUACAUGACAUAAUACGUGUAGGACCGCAUGUACGACACAAAUUAUCAUGUAGAACAUGUGUGUUUACUUAUUCUAUUAUAUAUAAAGUUAAGUGUUUACCAUUAGUACACAUUCAAAAUUAAAGGUUAUAAAUAUCGGUUAAGGUCAAAAUAAAAUAAUAUUUUCAUGUAUUAUACUUGUUUUUUUAGUAAGACUUUUCUUGAGUUAUAAAGCAAAUGAAGAGAGUUGGCCCCUCUUAUUUAACUUGAUACGUUGUACAUUAAAUACGUCAUUUAAAGUCUUUGAGUAUUGACCAAAUCCAAGAGUAUAUAUACACCACUAUUUCUAGAUAUUUUAGGAUAAGGUAGUCCUACAUGUUAGCAUAUUUUAAAUUACUUUUUUGCAUAACUGUCCAAAAAUAUACUAUUAACACGACGAUUUAUUAUCGAAAUAUAUAAUACCCAUCACAUGCAUAUUAUUUUUUAAAGUUAUUUUAAUGUUGUUUGAUUAUCUACUAAGUAUUAAUCUUUGUUUUUAGUUUGUUUUGUCGGACGGUGUACGUAAGCCACUUGGUCAUAUUGAUGUGAUAUAUUUACAAAUAUCUUUUCGAAAAAAUAAGUAAAUUUUUAUCUAUUCUUAUUUUUUUUAUAGGGAAAAAAGACUGAAAUAUAUACAAACUUUGGCCAUUCUACUUUUAAUAAUGGUGUUAUAGUAUUAACGUAUGUACUUGUGCCUCUCUACUUUUACUAAUGGUGUUUCGAUAUUUUUAACUUUUAAUUUGAUUAUUUUGAAUAUUUAAGAUUUGUAAAAUACAAACAAAUACAAUUUAUAAAUAUUAUGUUUUUUUCAUCUUAACAAAAUAUUACUUACGACUCCACCAUAAAAUCAACACUCUAUUUAUCUGCCACUUGUAGAGCAAGCUCAUUUCUUUGGUCCAUAAAAUAAUUGCAAUCCGUACAUGUGUCCCCUCACACCUCUAAUUAUUUAUGCAUUCAAAUCUUAUUAUAAAUGAGCCCAAACAUGCAUUAGUUUCUUCAUCCCUCAAUUUUCAUAUUUCAUAAGUACUAAGUUUUGAACAAAAGAAAAAUUAAAAAGAAUGGGUUCCAAGGCAAUUAUGUUUCUUGGUAUUUUUUUGGCUAUUUUCUUAAUGAUAAGCUCUGAGGUUGCAGCUAGGGAGUUGGCAGCUGAGACUUCCAAUGGUAAGCAUUUCUUCUCAUUUGUUCCCUCUCUUAGGGUGUGUUCGAUAAAAAAAAAUGUUUUUCAUGAAAUAUAUUUUGUAAGAAAAUAUGAAUGACUUCUUUAUUUACUUUUUUGUGUUCAAUAUUGUGAUAUAAUCUAGACAGAUAUAUAAUUGGUGGGGUUGGAUGGUGAGGGUGUGGGGAUGAGGAUGGGGGCGAAGAUAAAUAUGUUUGGUCAUAAAAUUUGUCUACUUUUUAAAAAUUAUUGGAAACCAAAUCCAAAAAUUUCAAUCACUAAUGCUAUAGUUUGAUCAUGACAUUUAAUAUACAUUCCUUUUGUUUCAUUUAAUAUAUGUCUCAAUUACAAGGCAUAAACCUUCCAAUCUUUGCUAAACUAAACUAAAGGUGUGUAAAUUAUAUUAUAAAUGUCCUACGAAUUUUGUGAUCUUUUGUUACAUUGAACUUAAAAAAUAUACAAUUAAAUAUAUAUAGGAAAAGGAGUACUCAUUUUGAAAUAUAAUAAAAAGGAAAGUACGACAUAUAAAUUGAAGCUCAAUUCAGAGACUAGUCAUGACUCAUCGUAUGUGUAAGCUAGUUUAAUUAAUCUUCACAAUUCAUCGAUGUAGCGGUCAACGUUGAUGGACAUUAUCAUGGUGGCGGCUAUGGUAAGGGCUAUGGAAAACCUAAAAAAUGUUAUAGUUGCUGCAAGAAAACCAAAUAUGGAUGCAAAAAAUACUGCUGCUCUUAUGAAGAAUAUGUGGCUGCCCAGACUCACAACUAAAUAAUUAAUUGUGUGUAUUAUUAUUGUAAACUUUUGAAAUUAAGUGACAAGAUAAUAAUAAUCUUGCUACUUAAGACCCUUUGCUUGUAACAAGUAUGAAUAAAGCCAUUCAUUUACUAUGAAUGGUUGGUCAUGAUGUAAUGUUUUGUUGUACAAUAUAUCAUAUUGUGUUAAAAAUGUUUCCCUAAUGUUAAGAUUUCCUUCUUAUUUUUACUUAAGUAUUCUAUCAUCCUUUAAUCAUAUGUUUCAGGAUUGAAUCCUGAUCCGAAUAUAAAAUCGUCUUUAUUACAUAGCUUUUACUCGAUCUGAAUUUUUUACCGUGAAUCCAAUUUAUUUAAGGCAUCUCUAAUUAAGGAUAUUGAACAUUGAGGGGAAAAAUUUAAAAUAUUUAAUUUUCU